This is a long non-coding RNA of Chelonia mydas (Green sea turtle), 1000 nucleotides long. RefSeq lists it as uncharacterized. The transcript is spliced from 3 exons. Lineage: Eukaryota; Metazoa; Chordata; Testudines; Cheloniidae. The record is from RefSeq and is a predicted model, not a curated record.
AGGAGCUGAGGUUUUAAGAAAACCAUAAAAUGUCACAAGAAUUUGGAUAAAAUCAUGAAUUGACAACACGGAAAACGCACAAUGGCAACUGAAAGAAGACACAGAUCUGUUCCAAACACCUGUUGCUGUGCAUGGAAAUGUUGGGCCAAGACAGAGGUGAAUAUGGCACUGACUCUCCAAGGCCAGGUGAUGCACAUCAGGGCCUGUUACCAUGGAAACGUCUACAGGGCCCACUGCACUGCAGGAGGACAAGUCCUGAAGGAAAUGGGCUGCUGCCAUCUAGUGUUAUUCAGGCACCCACUUGGUUGUCUGUCCCUUGAGCCCUUCCCGCAAGCCCCUUCCACCACCCAACACACACACAUCCCCUCAAAUCUCCCCCACGCCCUGUAAAAGCGAAGCUUUCCCUGCAGCAUUCCCUUCACUAGGCUGAAGGGUUAAUAUACAUUCCGGUGAGUGGCAUGCAGAUUACCCUGCCUUAUUGACACUCUCUGGCCUUGCACUGAGAGGUAUUGUACUAGAUAAUAAACUACACAGCUGCAGUAGAAUUGUUUCCUCGGCUUGUUACGCUCAGAUCAGACUCUUGUAUCUUUCUGCAAAUUCUUAAUUGUCAGUGGUCCAAAUCCUGAAGUAUUUAGGAUUUAUUUGUGUAAAACUCCCAGGUAAGUCAAUGGUAAGGACUGUAAGACUUGGCCCAAUAUAUUUUGUCUAAACUGAUCAUCCUUUUUUAAGGUGGAUUUCAGGCUCUGAGGGCCCUUGAGAGCCACUAAAGAGCCUGCAAACUUCUUAAAGUGUGUGGGGAAUGGGCUCUCGUCUACAGAUUUCCUGUGGUGGAUGAAACAGAGUAUUGGGCUUACAUCUAGCCAAAUAGCUCCAGAGAAUGAAAUGUAUGCACAUUAUCAAGGUUUUGCAAGCCAAUUUUAAAUCUUGGAGAAUGGAUAUCCUUCUUAUGUUUCAUGCCUCAACAGUGUUUUUAACUACACCUAGUAAAUUCCAUACAAAA